GGUCCUGCCUGCCCAGUGACUAUAUGUUUAACGGCCGCGGUACUUUGACCGUGCGAAGGUAGCGCAAUCACUUGUCUUUUAAAUGAAGACCUGUAUGAAUGGCACGACGAGGGCUUAACUGUCUCCUUUUUCCAGUCAAUGAAAUUGAUCUUCCCGUGCAGAAGCGGGAAUAAUAUCAUAAGACGAGAAGACCCUGUGGAGCUUUAGACACUAAAUCAGCCCUUGUCCAAGAAUCCCAAUUAAAGGAAUGAACACUAGAGUGAGACCUGAUCUAAUGUCUUCGGUUGGGGCGACCUUGGGGAAAGAAAAAUCCCCCAUGCGGAACGGAAAUACCAUAUUUCUAAAACUAAGAGAGACCACUCAAAGUAUCAAAAAUUUUGACCAACUAUAUGAUCCGGCUUAACGCCGAUCAACGGACCAAGUUACCCCAGGGAUAACAGCGCAAUCCUCUUUUAGAGCCCAUAUCGACAAGAGGGUUUACGACCUCGAUGUUGGAUCAGGACAUCCUAAUGGUGCAGCCGCUAUUAAGGGUUCGUUUGUUCAACGAUUAAAGUCCUACGUGAUC
RNAcentral lists this ribosomal RNA (565 nucleotides) under Amphiprion mccullochi (whitesnout anemonefish). Its description in RNAcentral is "partial 16S ribosomal RNA". It matches the Rfam family "Bacterial large subunit ribosomal RNA", at positions 1851 to 2605 of the family's 2925-position model. Lineage: Eukaryota; Metazoa; Chordata; Actinopteri; Pomacentridae. The record is from RNAcentral.